RNAcentral lists this transfer RNA (71 nucleotides) under Nassarius hepaticus. RNAcentral describes it as "tRNA-Asp". The record is from RNAcentral. Lineage: Eukaryota; Metazoa; Mollusca; Gastropoda; Neogastropoda; Nassariidae.
AAAAAGUUAGUUAAAUUAUAUAAUAUAAGGUUGUCAGCCUUACGUUACUAAUCAAGUUUAGUACUUUUUAC